AUGAGUUCAGCCAGCAAAUAUACUAAAAUUGGAAGGAUAUAAAGAAGAUUAGCAUGGCCCCUGCACAAGAAGGAUGACAUGAAAUAUAUAUAUAUAUAAAAUGAAUCU
This is a small nuclear RNA of Myotis lucifugus (little brown bat), 108 nucleotides long. NCBI's taxonomy places the organism in Eukaryota, Metazoa, Chordata, Mammalia, Chiroptera, Vespertilionidae. The record is from Ensembl.